AUUAUCCUACGGGGCGCAGCAGUGAGGAAUAUUGGUCAAUGGUCGGGAGACUGAACCAGCCAAGCCGCGUGAGGGAUGAAGGUACAGAGUAUCGUAAACCUCUUUUGUCAGGGAACAAAGGCGGGGACGUGUCCCCGGAUGAGUGUACCUGAAGAAAAAGCAUCGGCUAACUCCGUGCCAGCAGCCGCGGUAAUACGGAGGAUGCGAGCGUUAUCCGGAUUUAUUGGGUUUAAAGGGUGCGCAGGCGGUCUGUUAAGUCAGCGGUCAAAGCCCGGGGGUCAACCCCCGCCCGCCUGUGAAACGUG
Molecule: ribosomal RNA, 305 nt
Filed under: uncultured bacterium
Lineage: Bacteria
Description: bacterial SSU rRNA
Rfam family: Bacterial small subunit ribosomal RNA
Source: RNAcentral